AGAACGAACGCUGGCGGCGUGGAUAAGACAUGCAAGUCGAACGGGUUUAGUUUCGGAGCAAUUCGGAAUUAGGCCAGUGGCGAACGGGUGCGUAACACGUGAGUCAUCUGCCUGAAAGUGGGGGAUAGCUCGCCGAAAGGCGAAUUAAUACCGCAUGUGGUUGUAAGACCAAAGCCGGGGCAACCUGGCGCUUUUAGAGGAACUCGCGGCCUAUCAGCUUGUUGGUGAGGUAACGGCUUACCAAGGCUUCGACGGGUAGCUGGUCUGAGAGGACGACCAGCCACACUGGAACUGAGACACGGUCCAGACACCUACGGGUGGCAGCAGUCGAGAAUUUUUCUCAAUGGGGGAAACCCUGAAGGAGCGACGCCGCGUGGAGGAUGAAUGCUUUCGGGUGUAAACUCCUGUCAUUUGGGAACAAGCCUUACGUUAACUGCGUGGAGGUUUGAUAGUACCGAAAGAGGAAGAGACGGCUAACUCUGCGCCAGCAGCCGCGGU
This 498-nucleotide ribosomal RNA is filed under the name uncultured bacterium. RNAcentral's name for it is "SSU rRNA". It matches the Rfam family "Bacterial small subunit ribosomal RNA", at positions 26 to 521 of the family's 1533-position model. The record is from RNAcentral.